This 434-nucleotide ribosomal RNA is filed under the name Dysdera erythrina provincialis. RNAcentral's name for it is "partial 16S ribosomal RNA". The stretch from base 106 to 389 matches the Rfam family "Bacterial large subunit ribosomal RNA", at positions 2074 to 2646 of the family's 2925-position model. Lineage: Eukaryota; Metazoa; Arthropoda; Arachnida; Araneae; Dysderidae. The record is from RNAcentral.
CACUUGUCUUUUAAUUUAAGAAUAGAAUGAACGGAACAACGAAUUUUAACCUGUUUCACUUUUUUCCAAUAAAACUACUUAAAAGUAAUAACACUUUUUUCCAAAAAAAAGACGAUAAGACCCUAAAGAACUUUACUAAAGUUAAGCUGGGGCGGCCUAAUAAAAAAAUCUUACUUUAACUCUUUCAUCCUAUAUAUAUCAUUAAUGUUACCUUAGGGAUAACAGCAUAAUUUAAUUUUAUAGCUCUUAUUUAAAAUUAAGAUUAUGACCUCGAUGUUGAAUUAAAAAUCUUUUAAACGAAAAAAAUUAACAAGAAAGUCUGUUCGACCUUUAAACAAUUACAUGAUUUGAGUUCAGACCGGUGAAAACCAGGUCGGUUUCUAUCUUUUUUAAAAAUUUAUUAGUACGAAAGGACCAUAAAAUAUAUUUACAAU